This is a small nuclear RNA of Phodopus roborovskii (desert hamster), 157 nucleotides long. RefSeq annotates it as U1 spliceosomal RNA. The transcript has a single exon. NCBI's taxonomy places the organism in Eukaryota, Metazoa, Chordata, Mammalia, Rodentia, Cricetidae. The record is from RefSeq and is a predicted model, not a curated record.
AUACUCGCCUGGCAGGGGAAAUACCGUAAUCGUGAAGGUGGCUUUCCUAGGGCAAGGCUUAUCUGUUGCGCUCCAAUUGUGCACCCCUGCGAUUUCCCCAAAUUCGGGAAAGUCGACUGUAUAAUCUGUGGUGGGGGGAUGCUUUGUACUUUCCCCU